Molecule: unclassified non-coding RNA, 520 nt
Filed under: uncultured Glomus
Lineage: Eukaryota; Fungi; Glomeromycota; Glomeromycetes; Glomerales; Glomeraceae
Also listed under: 1 other name
Description: bacterial SSU rRNA
Rfam family: Eukaryotic small subunit ribosomal RNA
Source: RNAcentral
AGCAGCCGCGGUAAUUCCAGCUCCAAUAGCGUAUAUUAAAGUUGUUGCAGUUAAAAGCUCGUAGUUGAACUUCAGGCCUGUCCAGAUGGUCCGCCUUAAUUGGUGUGUACUGUCCUUGGGUGGGUCCUACCUUCUGGCGAAGCGGCAUGGCCUUAGUUGGUUGUGUUGGGGAACCAGGACUUUUACUGUGAAAAAAUUAGAGUGUUCAAAGCAGGCAUAAUAUGCUCGAAUACAUUAGCAUGGAAUAAUGGAAUAGGACGAUGGUUCUAUUUUGUUGGUUCUAGGACCGUUGUAAUGAUUAAUAGGGAUAGUUGGGGGCAUUAGUAUUCAAUUGUCAGAGGUGAAAUUCUUGGAUUUAUUGAAGACUAACUACUGCGAAAGCAUUUUGCCAAGGAUGUUUUCAUUAAUCAAGAACGAAAGUUAGGGGAUCGAAGACGAUCAGAUACCGUCGUAGUCUUAACCAUAAACUAUGCCGACUAGGAAUCGGGCGAUGUUGACAAAAUGACUCGCUCGGCACCUC